GGACUCUUCCCCUCGGGCUGCUGGGGAUCCCACUGCACCUCAGCCAGGGCUGGAGGCCGACAUGGGCCCUAGAGGAGCCUGGUCAGCUCUGCCACGAGUGGGCAGCCGUGUUUUUCUGCCUCUGCCUCGC
Non-coding RNA from Cavia aperea (Brazilian guinea pig), 130 nucleotides. Lineage: Eukaryota; Metazoa; Chordata; Mammalia; Rodentia; Caviidae. The record is from Ensembl.